RNAcentral lists this long non-coding RNA (735 nucleotides) under Androctonus crassicauda. The record is from RNAcentral. Lineage: Eukaryota; Metazoa; Arthropoda; Arachnida; Scorpiones; Buthidae.
GGGCAUGCUUAACACCUCUAGGUCCACAAGAACAAAGACCAAACGCAAUAAAUCCACUCAGGUCCAACAUACCUGGAGUUCUGUUCCCUGCAUCCAUCCUCCAUGCACUAUAUCACCACAGCAAUCAUGUUUGGCCAAGAAUGCCAUGUAACUAUCAUACCCUCUUUGUCCACAGAGGAAUCAAAAACACAGGACAAAAUGAAUAUUUGCUAUUGUGAGUUCUUCCAUUACAGGAGAACUCCUAUGUUCAAGCUUUCCCAUGACAUAAAACACCAGCAGCUGGCUGAAAAACUCAGAAAGAGUCUGAAACCUUUCCACAUUCAGAGUAUUACUUAAUCAUAACUGUGGAGGAAGAGCAUGCAAGGCACAUACCUUCCUCUGUUAGAAAGGGUGAGAGAUUUCUCUACUUCAUAUCAUGAUGUAGCUCACAUACAAGCUGAAGAUGCCACAGGCUGUUGUGGAGAUGAUAUCAACCAAUGCCAUGAAUAGGCCUGGUUCCAGCAUUUUACCAUGACCAAAUAUUACUUGAGGCAAUUCUAUGAGGUUUAGCAUUCUCCCUAGGAAAGCAAGUUUCCUCUUGUCAAGGGACAAAUUCCCCUAUAGUCAAAGUUCAACUACCUCUUGGAUGGGCACUGUUUAGACUUCUAUCCCUCUGCUAUUCAUCCCAUCAGCACAGAAUGCCAUCUUGGGAUUUGGGACCCUUUUAGAGGACUAUUAUCUUACACAAGACAUAGG